Molecule: long non-coding RNA, 2753 nt
Filed under: Homo sapiens (human)
Lineage: Eukaryota; Metazoa; Chordata; Mammalia; Primates; Hominidae
Description: HSALNT0049411
Source: RNAcentral
GUCAGCCUGUCCUGGCCACGCCAGGAAAUGUAAAAUUUAAAGCACAUUUACAUUUUACAGCCCUCCAAUUCCCAAUUCCCUUUUCUCUGCACGCUGACCCAACUUGGUAACGUGAGCUCGCGCCUGUGAGCACUCACCUUCCCGCCGUGACCCGGGCCCAGGGCUUCAGGGCAGGAGUUGUCAGGAGGGUGUGCAGCAGGGAAAAUGGGUGCUGAGGAGCCGAAGGACGACUUGGGAGGGAUAGGGGAGAAGGAAAAGAGGGGCCGAGCAAAGGCCUAGAGAACCGCUGGGGAAGAAACGUUGAACUUAAGAUGAACAGAGGCCAAGCUGUCUUUGAUUGACAGCAUCUCAGGCUCACAAAAGCAACUUUCAAAGAUAAUGAAAUGCCUACCUUUCAAUAGCUUGUUUUCUCCCUGUAACGCUUAUUUAAAUGUUGUUAUAACAAUUCUUUCUUUCUUUCUUUUUUUUUUUUUUGAGAUGGAGUCUCGCUCUGUCGCCCAGGCUGGAGUGCAAUGGCGCGAUCUCGGCUCACCGCGACCUCUGCCUCCCGGGUUCCAGCGAUUCUCCUGCCUCAGCCUCCCGAGUAGGUGGGAUUACAGGCACCUGCCACCAUGCCCGGCUCAUUUUUGUAUUUUUAGUAGAGUCGGGGUUUCACCAUGUUAGCCAGCCUGGUUUCGAACUCCUGACCUCAAAUGAUCUGCCUGCCUUGGCCUCCGAAAGUGCUGGGAUUACAGGUGUGAGCCACCGCGCCUGGCCUAUCACAAUUCUUGAUUGUUUAAAGUGCAAUUAUUUGGAGAAAAUAAUUUUAAAUGUUCUCUGGGAAUUUAUUGUAGAAAGCAGUUAGACUUUUACCAGUGGUCACAACUUCACUGAUGAGAAUGAUAACCCAUUAAUAAAACAGCCCUCUUCUUCUGAGACUUGAUUUUGAAUAUUCUGAUCUAGAUAGGCAGAUUCUAAAGCUACUCAACACCCCGAACCCUGUGACCACAUCUCCCAGAGCAGGGUACUGGGACUGGUUUCCGUUCCCUUGGCAUGUCCCUGAGGCAAUGCUUGAAGACACCUGUAAUUGCCACAAGACACAUUUUCCUAACCCCCAGGCUGCCAGUCAAUUGCUAGUUACCAGCUUCUGAAAACCAUACAGGGAAGGGAUUAAGAAGUGGGCUCUGGAAUUAAGCCACCUCGUUCAGUUCCUGGCCCUGCCACUCACUAAGGGAUAUUGAGCAAGUUACUUAGCUUCUGUGCCUGGAGUCUUACCCAAAACAUGCCGGUGAUAAUGACAGUGCCCGCUGUGAGGGUGAGGACCAAAGGCUCUAACACGGGGAUCCCGCUGGGCACAGUCAGGGUGAGCUGCCCUGCUAGCCUGCUGCCUAGUGUCCUGGGAGUCCAGUAAAAGCAAACCAGCACCUGCCUUGCUGCCUCUGGAGUCCCCUCUUUUCCAGAUAGAGUCCCCUUGGUAGGUGCCCUGACUCAAGGUGCCCAGGCCUCCUCCUCCUCCUCCAUAGCAGGAAGGAAGCUGGGCACCAGACCAAGAACUGGGAUGGGCCAGGCAGCAAGACUGUGGGCAGCCCAGGAAAGAGAACAAACCCACUGCCUGCCACAACAGCUGUGGGAAGGGGCUGCUGCAGAGGAUGUAGGUGGCAGGGAGGGGACCAUGCCAGGACACUCACAGAGUAAGAAGCAGCGAGCUGAUGAGUCUUAGUCCCAGGAACAAAUGAACAUUACCAGCAAUAAAAUAAUGGCUGGUUUCUGAUUCUGCUAAGUAGUAGCAUAUUAAAGAAAACUGCCAUCCUGACACCCUUCUAGAUGAGAGGAUGCUACAUUCUGACUUGGGUUUCAGCCCAGCCAGUCCUGUGAGGUGGAAGUCUCAGAACCAUCCCCAGCUCAAGAGCAAAGUCUAUACUGAGGAAGACGAAAGCCAGCGCAGAGUUUCCCCAGAAAACAGGAGCCAGAUGGUGCGAAUCCAACAGACUCCACGUGAAAUCAGCCACACCAAAGGUCAGGAGAUCUGUGUGGAGAGAAACUUUCAGAGAAGGCAACCAGGGCACAUCUCUGUUUUAAAACCAUCUCCUGGGCCGGGCACUGUGGCUCACGCCUGUAAUCCCAGCACUUUGGGAGGCUGAGAUGGGCAGAUCACUUGAGGCCAGGAGUUUGAGACCAGCCUGGCCAACAGGGUGAAACCCAAUCUCUACUAAAAAUACAAAAAUUAGCCAGGUAUGUUGCCCAUCUAUAAUUCCAGCUACUCAGGAGGCUGAGGCACGGGAAUCCCUUGAACCGGAGAGGCGGAGGUUGCAAUGAGCCGAGAUCGUGUCACUGAACUCCAGCCUGUGUGACAGAGCGAGUCUCUGUCUCAAAAAACAAAACGAAACAAAACCCACAAAAAUAAAACCAUCUCCCUACCAUGAGCCCUCCACAUUUGCAAUUCAUGAAAAUGGAAAGCUGUCAUGUCCCCACGUGAAUUUUCGGGUCUCACUAGAAAGAUAACCAUCAGGACCGGCAACAUGGGAUUCAACAACAGUUUCUGGUCUAAUUUUUUAAAAAGGACGAAAGAAGGCAGGCUGGUGUCAUGCAAUACUGCUUGCAUUAAAGUAUGUACAUUUAAACUAUGUACCUUGAACUUUUAUUGGAAAAGCGAAGCUCAGUAGUAAAAAUUUACGUUAAUCAAAUUCAUGGAGACAGAAAGUUGCAUGGGAGUUGCCAAGGGCUGGGGAAAGCAAUGCCCACUCCACCUUCAGCUCUGUGAAUUUGGGGAGUCA